This 1305-nucleotide long non-coding RNA is filed under the name Homo sapiens (human). Its description in RNAcentral is "non-protein coding lnc-FGGY-6:3". The record is from RNAcentral. Lineage: Eukaryota; Metazoa; Chordata; Mammalia; Primates; Hominidae.
GGCUCCUCAGGCUCAAGCACAACCUGGAAAAACGAAGGUGUUAAUGUUCCAUGAGGCAACUGAUGACCAAUGGGGAGCAGGAGCUGGUGAAUGAAUGUUCCCUUCAUCCAUCCUGCAGGUAACAGUUCUGAAGUCCAUCCUUUGCAGAUCCUCAAGUGGUCCAUGUUUGGUGGAGCUCCAGUGGCCCACAGAAGGGAACAACUCAGUAUUUAUUUUAUAUUGACUCUCUCCCCUUCACUGUUUCCCUCUUUUCCAGUCCUGCUCCAUAAGCCUUGGGAUCACUUCCUAAAUAAAUCAUGAUCUUCAAGCCCUAUCUCAGGUUCUGCUUUCCUGGGGAAGUCCCAAAUUAAGACAGUAGUGUUUGACCUGGGUUUUGAAAAUUGAGCAUGAGUUUUUUAAGUGGAGAAAUAGAGAUAGAGAAAGAACAUUCCAGGCAAAGGGAGAAACAUGAGCAAAGGUCAGUGGGCAUGAACGGUACAGAAUGUGUUUAGGGAUUAGCAGUAAUAUACUGUGGCUGAAGCAUGGGGUAUACAGAGAGUCUGAGGAGGAGAUUACUGGUGGGAAGUUUUGUUGGUUGAGAAACACCUAUCAGAUAUACUGAGCUAAGAAUACUGGAAAAAUGUUCACCCAAAAUUAUGUUUGUUGUUUGCUUUCCUCUCGAGCUUCUACAUUGUUCUUCAUCUCUGGGAAAUCAGUGACCCAUGGACUGGACAAUAACUUUGAGCCAUGCAGUCAAAAUAAAAUGGAAUAUUUAAGUGAAAGAUCAGGUUCUGGAAAAUAAAACUGCUCGUAGCUGCAUAUUAUCUACCGGUGAGUAAAACAAGUUUACUGCCACCAUCUUAGUGUGACUAAAAGAGGGAGAUCCUAAAGAAUUUCAAGGAAAUAAAGAAAAGUAAAUGGAAAUGGAUUGUGUAAUAUUCGUUAUUAUUGAUUAAAUAACUUAGGUGGAUUCUCAGAAAGAAAAAGGUGAUGUUCACUGGCAUGAACAGUGAAUGGUGGAGUGGAACGUGAACAGGCUGGAGCUCUGGCUGUGCCAUUUAUUAGCCAUGUGCCUUUAGAAGGUCCUCAUCUUCUCCAGCCUCAGUUUCACCAUCUGUAAUGGUAGGUAAGAACCUCUACUUCAGAAGGCUGUUGGAAAGACGAAAUGGUAUGAGACAAAAUGAAAUAAUGACAUCCUAAGUGGAAAGGGCUCGCCUGGGGUCUGGUUAACAAGUAUCACUGCCUCAGGUAACAGUCUUUCUCAGCAGUGCUGCAUACAAACCUCCUCUGGCUUUGACCUUAACAGCCAUUGUAGGUCAGUGUUCA